Molecule: long non-coding RNA, 387 nt
Filed under: Sinocyclocheilus anshuiensis
Lineage: Eukaryota; Metazoa; Chordata; Actinopteri; Cypriniformes; Cyprinidae
Description: lncRNA (ENSSANG00000002637.1)
Source: RNAcentral
AAAGAAGAAUUUCCAGGAACUGGAAAUAUGUAAUGUCAUAAUCCAUGCCUGUCGUCGAACACACACCAAGGUGCUGGAAAAAGUAAUUGAGGACUUCAUAUCAGAAACACUGAAGUUUGCACCACACAGAGAUAAGAUGCUACAAUCUAAGGUGCCACUUCAGCCCGAAGCAGAGACUUGUGGAAAAGAAUACACACAGAACACACUUAAUUAGUUGUUUUACACACAGAAUGUAUUUUGUUAUGUAAGAUUUGGAAUGUUUCAGUUUGUGGAAUGUUUGAGUAUAUAAAAAUGUGAAAGUAAAGUAAGAUAUCAGUUAUGCUAUUGUUUUCAUUUAGAUGUACUGUAUGUUACAGUGUACGUAUCCUUGGCAAAAGGUAGACAAAU